RNAcentral lists this ribosomal RNA (392 nucleotides) under uncultured bacterium. RNAcentral's name for it is "partial 16S ribosomal RNA". It matches the Rfam family "Bacterial small subunit ribosomal RNA", at positions 523 to 918 of the family's 1533-position model. The record is from RNAcentral.
AUACGGAGGAUCCGAGCGUUAUCCGGAUUUAUUGGGUUUAAAGGGUGCGCAGGCGGCCACUUAAGUCAGCGGUUAAAUCGUGGGGCUCAACCCCAUUCUGCCGUUGAUACUGGGUGGCUUGAUUGCGGUCGAGGUUGGCGGAAUUCGUUGUGUAGCGGUGAAAUGCAUAGAUAUGACGAAGAACACCGAUUGCGUAGGCAGCUGACCAGACCGCAAAUGACGCUCAUGCACGAAAGUGCGGGGAUCGAACAGGAUUAGAUACCCUGGUAGUCCGCACAGUAAACGAUGAAUACUUGUUUUCGGCGAUAUAAUGUCGGAGGCAAAGCGAAAGCGAUAAGUAUUCCACCUGGGGAGUACGCCGGCAACGGUGAAACUCAAAUGAAUUGGCGGGG